GACGGAGGGGGCAAGCGUUGUCCGGACUCACUGGGCGUAAAGGGUGCGCAGGCGGUUCUGUGCGUCGGCGCUGAAAGUGCCCGGCUCAACCGGGUGAGGCGCGCCGAUACGAUGGAACUUGAGGCUCGGAGAGGGUGGUGGAACUCCUGGUGUAGUGGUGAAAUGCGUAGAGAUCAGGCGGAACACCCGUGGCGAAGGCGGCCAGCUGGGUCGUCCCUGACGCUGAGGCGCGAAGGCGUGGGGAGCGAACGGG
RNAcentral lists this ribosomal RNA (253 nucleotides) under uncultured bacterium. RNAcentral describes it as "partial 16S ribosomal RNA". It matches the Rfam family "Bacterial small subunit ribosomal RNA", at positions 524 to 776 of the family's 1533-position model. The record is from RNAcentral.